Ornithorhynchus anatinus (platypus) is the source of this 72-nucleotide non-coding RNA. The record is from Rfam. Lineage: Eukaryota; Metazoa; Chordata; Mammalia; Monotremata; Ornithorhynchidae.
AGCAGCGUGGCUCAGUGGAAAGAGCCCGGGCUUGGGAGUCAGAGGUCAUGGGUUCGAAUCCCAACUCUGCCC